AUUAAGUUUACUUUUCAGUUUUUUAAUAUAAUAUUUUGACUUUUUAUCUUAUUUAAAAUAUUAUUGUGAUUAAUAUUUUUAUUAUUACUAGAUGGUAAAACAUAAAUAGUACUUUAUACGUGACUAAUUUUUUAAAGUUUUUUUUACAUAUUUUUCAAAUAAGACGAAUGGUCAAAGUGUUAGACACAUAAAUC
RNAcentral lists this microRNA precursor (194 nucleotides) under Oryza brachyantha (malo sina). RNAcentral describes it as "MIR812 microRNA precursor family". It matches the Rfam family "MIR812 microRNA precursor family". The record is from Rfam by way of RNAcentral. Lineage: Eukaryota; Viridiplantae; Streptophyta; Magnoliopsida; Poales; Poaceae.